CUCUAAUUCUCCUAGCCGCCACCUUCUCCUUCCCUGUAUUCUCCUUCACAGCAUCAAUAGCUAGCGGUUCUUCUUCCUCUAGCGAGCAGCAAGCGCAGGGAGCUCAGCUCCUCCCCUCGGCCACCAUGGCGCCCUCUUCCCUGGCGCUUGCUCCCUACAGGAGAGCAGUCCGGCUCCUCAUCCCCUCCCCCUUCUUCUUCCUCUGCCCAGCGCCCCUAUGUGCAGCCCACACCUUCUUCCUCCCAUGGCCGGACCUCUACACCUUGUGCUCGGCGCUCCUUCCCCAAGUCCGGCUGGAGCUUGCCUCCUCCCAUGGCCGCCCUCCUAGCGCACCUCGCCAGCAGCGGGAUUCCUCCUCUCCCUCUUCCUCUGCUAUCCUGCUCGACCACGUGAAGUCGUUGGCCCCUGCUCCAUCCGCCGAUAGCCUCCCUUCCCAUGGGGUCGAGCUUUUCCCCUCGACGUUGGCUGCUUUCGAACGCUGAGCUCCCUACGCUGGGUUCCCUGCAUUUCCCUUUCCUCCAAGCGCUCAGCUGUAGUUACCUCCCCUGGCCCGAGCUCGAACAGCCGGUCUUCUUCCCCAACGUCGGCCUCCAUGGAUGCACGGCUCCCACUCCCAUGGCGCCUCUGCUCCUCCCAUAUAGGGCGUCCGACCCCCUGCUCCUAUCUCCAGCCCCCUCCUCUCUGUUCCUUGCGCAGAGGAAUUUCUUUUCUAAGGCCAACGUUUGUUUUCCCCCGUUUCAUCUCCUCCGCGUGGCAAGGCAGUAGGCAAGCCCCUGCAUCUUGCUCGACCUCCACCUCCGAUCGUCGUCCUCGCGCAGCAGCAGCGACGCCCUCCGCUGUGUCGCGCUCACCAAGGCGGACCACCCGCCGUCGAUCUGCGCAGCCCUAUGUGCCGUCGUCGAAACCCGCGUCCCAUCCGCGACGCCGUCGAAACCCGUGCUAGCCGUCAAUGCCAACCAUCGCGCACGCGUGUUCGAUACAAGACCGAUCGGGUGAACCACGUGCUUGCACAACUCAAAUCCGACCCCGUUCAGGACCGAGAGAUGAUGAUCGUGCACGUGAUGUGGUGCCAACCACAAGAUGCAGUUGGUAGGCGACCUGAAGAAUGAUAGACUUACCCAGAGGAUGCUCUCCAAGCGAGUACCCACCCCAACAAACACUAUCUAAGUGUUAAAUUAAAG
This 1181-nucleotide unclassified non-coding RNA is filed under the name Zea mays. Its description in RNAcentral is "misc RNA Zm00001eb029340". The record is from RNAcentral. Lineage: Eukaryota; Viridiplantae; Streptophyta; Magnoliopsida; Poales; Poaceae.